CCUACGGGGGACAGCAGUGGGGGAUAUUGCACAAUGGGGGGAACCCUGAUGCAGCGACGCCGCGUGGGUGAAGAAGCGCCUCGGCGCGUAAAGCCCUGUCAGCAGGGAAGAAAAUGACGGUACCUGAAGAAGAAGCCCCGGCUAACUACGUGCCAGCAGCCGCGGGAAUACGUAGGGGGCAAGCGUUAUCCGGAUUUACUGGGUGUAAAGGGGGCGCAGACGGCGAUGCAAGCCAGGAGUGAAAGCCCGGGGCCCAACCCCGGGACUGCUGUUGGAACUGCGUGGCUGGAGUGCAGGAGGGGCAGGCGGAAUUCCUGGGGUAGCGGGGAAAUGCGUAGAUAUCAGGAGGAACACCGGUGGCGAAGGCGGCCUGCUGGACUGCAACUGACGUUGAGGCCCGAAAGCGUGGGGAGCAAACAGGAUUAGAUACCCGGGUAGUC
RNAcentral lists this ribosomal RNA (440 nucleotides) under uncultured bacterium. RNAcentral describes it as "partial 16S ribosomal RNA". It matches the Rfam family "Bacterial small subunit ribosomal RNA", at positions 338 to 795 of the family's 1533-position model. The record is from RNAcentral.